Molecule: ribosomal RNA, 483 nt
Filed under: Moringua microchir (lesser thrush eel)
Lineage: Eukaryota; Metazoa; Chordata; Actinopteri; Anguilliformes; Moringuidae
Description: partial 16S ribosomal RNA
Rfam family: Bacterial large subunit ribosomal RNA
Source: RNAcentral
GUAUGAAUGGCAUAACGAGGGUUUAACUGUCUCCUUCUCUCAGUCAAUGAAAUUGAUCUAUCCGUGAAGAAGCGGAUAUAAAAACAUAAGACGAGAAGACCCUAUGGAGCUUUAGACUAAAGACAAAACAUGUAAAAAUACUCAAAAGCUCAAAAGAAUAACAAAAGCAAAAUAAACCUAUGAUAAAUGACCUAGAAUCUUCGAUUGGGGCGAUCAUGGGGGAGAAAAAAGCCCCCACGUGGAAUGGGAAAAGACCCUUAACUUAAGAGGGACACCUCAAAACCUCAGAAAAUCUGACCAAAAAUGACCCAGAACAUUAUCUGAUCAACGAACCAAGUUACCCUAGGGAUAACAGCGCAAUCCUUUUCCAGAGCCCAUAUCGACGAAAGGGUUUACGACCUCGAUGUUGGAUCAGGACAUCCUAAUGGUGCAGCCGCUAUUAAAGGUUCGUUUGUUCAACGAUUAACAGUCCUACGUGAUCUA